AUGAUGACGAUCUCCUCCUCUUCAUCGCAUCCCCCAGGACUGCUCUCUUUCUUGCCCCGGCCUUGGCUUGUCCCCUCGUUUCCUGUCCCCUGCCUGGGUUUGAUGUGUUUCUCUCUCUGUUGUUUUUUCUUCUUACCCUGGCCUGGGCUAGCUGCUGCAGGGUCUCUGCUGGAAGCCCUUGCUCCUGCGCAUAUCCCGGAAUCAGGUCCUGGCAGAGCAGUGGUCCGCCUCCUCUCCAGGUCUGUCUGGACCCCGGCUGAUCUCGUUGCUCUCCCUGUGCUCCCCGUGUGUGCCAGGUCCCCCAGUGCUCCAGCCAAGGCAGAUGCUGAGGAUGUAGAGUCUGCAGGCUCUGCUGUGGGAGGAGGCACGCUGGGUCCUGUGGCCGAGGGAGUACUUGGUGCCUUGCUUGGGGCUCCCUGGCUCAUGGCUGCAGCACGGCGUAUGACUGUGGAAACGAUGGUCUUGACUCCUUCAUCCAGCUCGUCAUCACAGGCACUGGAGGCAUGUCGGGCACGUCCCUGGCUCUCAACCAUCACUGCAGUGCUGUGCUCACUGGGGCUUGGAGAGGCUGCUGGUUUUGACUGUGGAGCCCCACGUGUCAGGGGAGGCGUCCUGUGUCCCUCAUCUUCCAGAGCAGGGGCUGCUGGAGGACUUGCUGGCCUGCUCUGUGCUGCUGUUGUUGAAGUGAGAGGCGUGCUGUGCCUCUCUUCCCCAGGAAUUUCUUCCUGGGGAGCAGCUGAUGGGACAGUGUCCAUGGUUUGCAGCGAGCCAGGAGAGGCGCUUGCUGAGUGUUUUGCUUCUUGUGCUGCCUCCCUGUCCACACUGCUGGCUGCGCUGCCCUCUUCCUGGGGAACAUCCUGUGGGUCUGUGAAGAGGCUGGCGUACCUGGGGUUGAUCCAGGAGUUGAUGAUGACGAUCUCCUCCUCUUCAUCGCAUCCCCCAGGACUGCUCUCUUUCUUGCCCCGGCCUUGGCUUGUCCCCUCAUUUCCUGUCCCCUGCCUGGGUUUGAUGUGUUUCUCUCUCUGUUGUUUUUUCUUCUUACCCUGGCCUGGGCUAGCUGCUGCAGGGUCUCUGCUGGAAGCCCUUGCUCCUGCGCAUACCCGGGAAUCAGGCCCUGGCAGAGAAGUCGUCCACGUCCUCUCCAGGUCUGUCUGGACCCCGGCUGAACUUGUUGCUCUCAAUUUGCACCCCGUUUGUGCCAGGUCCCCAAGUGCUGCUGAUCGUUGGCCGUGUUCCCAGCUUUUUUGCGUCUUCUCCAGCACUUCAGACACGCGGGAGUGUGCUGUGUCCUGCAGUGCCGUGCAAGAGUCUGCAGGGCUGUGUGGGGCAGGGUGCCAGCUCUUCUUUAAAUUCUGGGGCCCAGUUGCGGGCUGA
RNAcentral lists this long non-coding RNA (1374 nucleotides) under Anas platyrhynchos platyrhynchos (common mallard). RNAcentral's name for it is "lncRNA (ENSAPLG00000029278.1)". The record is from RNAcentral. Lineage: Eukaryota; Metazoa; Chordata; Aves; Anseriformes; Anatidae.